RNAcentral lists this ribosomal RNA (614 nucleotides) under Blithopertha sp. BMNH 671502. RNAcentral's name for it is "partial 16S large subunit ribosomal RNA". It matches the Rfam family "Bacterial large subunit ribosomal RNA", at positions 1844 to 2735 of the family's 2925-position model. The record is from RNAcentral. Lineage: Eukaryota; Metazoa; Arthropoda; Insecta; Coleoptera; Scarabaeidae.
UUUAAAGUCUAACCUGCCCAAUGAGGAAUUGAAUGGCCGCGGUAAUUUGACCGUGCAAAGGUAGCAUAAUCAUUAGUUUUUUAAUUGAAAGCUGGAAUGAAUGGUUGGACGAGAAAAUAACUGUCUCAAUUUAAAUUUAGUUAGAAUUUUAUUUAUAAGUAAAAAAGCUUAUAUAAUUUUAAAAGACGAGAAGACCCUAUAGAGUUUAAUAGCUUUUUAUAUUAAAUAAGUUUAGAAUAUUUAUUUUUUAUAUAUAAAAGGUUAUUUUGCUGGGGCAGCAAAAAAAUUAAAUUAACUUUUUUUAUUUAAAACCAUUGAUUUAUGAUUUAAUGAUCCAUUUUUUAUGAUUAUAAGAUUAAAUUACCUUAGGGAUAACAGCGUAAUUUUUUUUUAGAGUUCUAAUCGAAAAAAGAGUUUGCGACCUCGAUGUUGGAUUAAAAUUAACUUUUGGUGUAGGGGCUAAAAGGUUAGGUCUGUUCGACCUUUAAAAUUUUACAUGAUCUGAGUUUAAACCGGCGUGAGCCAGGUUGGUUUCUAUCUUUAAAUAAGUUGAAUAUUUUAGUACGAAAGGAUUAAAUAUUUUUAAAAUUUAAUAUAAUAUGAAUAGGAUUAUU